This 537-nucleotide ribosomal RNA is filed under the name Sordariomycetes sp. RNAcentral describes it as "eukaryotic LSU rRNA". The stretch from base 168 to 321 matches the Rfam family "5.8S ribosomal RNA". The record is from RNAcentral. Lineage: Eukaryota; Fungi; Ascomycota; Sordariomycetes.
AGCCGAAAGGCUACUUAAAACCAUCGCGAACUUAUCCAAGUUGCUUCGGCGGCGCGGCUCCCCUCACGGGGGGCCGCAGCCCCGCCUCUCAGGAGGUAUGGGGCGCCCGCCGGAGGUACGAAACUCUGUAUUAUAGUGGCAUCUCUGAGUAAAAACAAAUAAGUUAAAACUUUCAACAACGGAUCUCUUGGUUCUGGCAUCGAUGAAGAACGCAGCGAAAUGCGAUAAGUAAUGUGAAUUGCAGAAUUCAGUGAAUCAUCGAAUCUUUGAACGCACAUUGCGCCCGCUAGUACUCUAGCGGGCAUGCCUGUUCGAGCGUCAUUUCAACCCUCAAGCUCUGCUUGGUGUUGGGGCCCUACGGCUGCCGUAGGCCCUGAAAGGAAGUGGCGGGCUCGCUACAACUCCGAGCGUAGUAAUUCAUUAUCUCGCUAGGGAGGUGCGGCGUGCUCCUGCCGUUAAAGACCCCAUCUUUAACCAAGGUUGACCUCGGAUCAGGUAGGAAUACCCGCUGAACUUAAGCAUAUCAAUAAGCGGAGG